GCAGCCUCCUGUUGGUCUAGGAGUGCUCAGAGACUGAAAUAGGGCAAGAGAGCAGCAAGGCUGGGGAAUGAGUCUGAUAUGCCCCAACGCUGAACACAGCCUUCUCUGCCUUGGCUUCAGGCUUAAAGAGUGGCCAGGGACCCCAGGCUGGGACAUUGAGUAGGCACUGCCUUCAUACGGAAGACUGAAUAUAUAGAUGGCCAUUAAAAUAAUUGUUCAAAAUGAUAAACUCGUUUACCAGGCUACCAAGAUAAAUCUGCUCCUGGGAAUUGCAUUUUGGUGUGCCUGGGAGCAGUCACGUGCUGGAGAGUUGAAAGGGGUAUUGAUCAGGAUCUGUGAGCUGCAGACCCCAUGCCAAUCCAGAGCGUUUCUGGCAAUCAGUGUCGCCCAUGAAUUGCAGCUGUCUGUGUGGCUCCCGAAAAGAAAUCUUCAGAAAAGUCCCCCCCUUAUCAAACACUUCAUCCAUUCAGGGGUAAGUCAAUAUCAUUUCUUUGUCAUUUCGUGGAGGAGGAUUAUGCAGGAGAAAGUUUUUGUUGUCGGUUGUAGCUGCUGCUGAGCCUUUUUUUUUUUUUUUUUUAAAGGAAGGAGAGCAAUUUUCUAGCCAUUGAAUGGUAAUGGUUUUCCAGAAAGGCCUCAAGCGUUUGUAUGAAUCGUACAACAAAUGCUGUUUCAAUAUUGUGGGGGAAUUUUAAGGGGGGGGGGGAAUUCUCAUGUUGCUAUACACAAAUAAUAGUAGUGAUAAUAGAGGGUUUCUUUUAACAACGGAGAAAUUUCUCCCCCUUUUCCCGGAGCCUCUAGUGAUGAAAACACCGCAAGUCUCUGUGAUUACACUUGCAGAUGGACGGUGGGUGCUUGUGGAGGAAAGGGAGCCUUCGGAAUUGUGGCUCUGUUUGAUAUCUCCAUUAGCUUCAAUUUUAUUCUGCCUGAAAGCUCAGGCUGGUUGAACACAAGGAGAAGAACACUAAAACCGAAGCCCGGCACCAUUGACCCUCUUCCGCCUCUCAGCUCAGAAAUUCUCUGACACUUCGCGGAUUCCAUUCGAAUCCAGGAAAGUUGUUGUUGAAGUGUUUUAGGUGGGGAGGUCCCAUGGGUCCUUUUUCGUGAACUCGCUUCUCCUCUGCGUCAAUCUGGUUAAAAUCCGAAAAGCCAGUUUAGUUAGGAGCUGUCAGGGACGGCCCUUAACUUUUCGGGUGACAGAGUGCGCCAGGACGGAGGAUCAUUUGGAGUGUGUUAGUGUUCUUCCCACCUUCCGCUGGUCUCUUAGGAAAAGAAGAAUGAAGCUGCUCUGUCAGCUGGGGGAGGCUUCUCUCACAGCCCCAAGCACCACCUGGGUUUGCAGGUGGGGAGUAGGGCUGCGGGGCGAACCCAGCGAAACCCACCCGAGCCUCAGUAGUCCCGGCGCGGGCAGUGGGCGGGCUUGAGGGCGGGGAGAAGGAGGAGACCCCGAGCCAGAAGAGCGGUCGCACCUGCUCCUGGGGCGACGAGUCUGGAGAGGCAGCGGCCGAAUCCUCAGCUCCGCAGAGCUAAGUAGCAAGCGGGUCCUCCUGCCUAGUUUUAAAGAAAGCCAGAGACUAGGUCGGCGAACCUUGAUCGUUCCCCCUCCAUGCCCACAGACAAGGAAAUUGUUGGAGUUACUGUGCCCUCAGGAAUGGACACACACACACACACACACACUUCUGUCCCUCUCCAUUCCGGUUCUGGCUUGGUUCCCCGACCCCCUCGCGGGAGGAGUUUGGGUGGAAAUCAGAGCCUGGGCCUCUGAUCCGGACUGGAGGUGACCGUGGUUGAGUGCUGGGGUUGCAGACCUUGCCCAGGACAUUUUCCUUCUCUGGAAUUCGCGGCCCACCACAGAACCUUCUUUGGGGCCACCCUCUGGUUCUGUUUUCGCGGCUGCUACCACUGUAGAAGCUCGUGGCAGAAAUAAUUUGACUGUUGGGGAAAAUGAAAUUCAAAAAAGUGAAGGGGAAUUUGAGCAUUUGGAACAGCAGCGAUCAGAGAGCUUCUUUUUCUGGGGGAAGGGGACGGUGGGAAGGCUGGGGUGGGGGGAGCCUGCACGACGACCCUCAACCGGAAUACAGCUUUUUCUGUAAAAGAACGUUGCACUUUGAGAAAGCAACUUGUUAGCCUGAGAACGAGAUGAGUUUUAUCGCCGCGGCCUUUAGUACCUGUUCCAUUAUUUCUCUCCACCAAAGCCCUGGAGCACCGGUUUUGAGCCACGUGAAUCUGCAGUCGCAUUUUCUUUUAAAUGGGUUUCCAAAAGUACAGUUUUGGGUUUCCAAAAAUACAAUUCAUGUAUGCUUAAAAUAAAGUUUUCCUCUCCUCCAGUUGUCACCCCACAAAAGAAAAACUGGCGUGAGGUCCUUUUGUUCAGGUUAAGUUGUGCGUGAAAUCUUUUUUGUUGUCCUUUCAAAGGGAAGGCAAAAGUUGCAGUUGAUUGUAAAAAGGACAAAUUUAACUCUCUGAAAGUAGAACUGUUUUCAAGUUACCCUGAGACACUAAACACGGGCAUUGCCUUUUAUUUAUUACCGUCUUAAAACGAUCAUUUAUUUGCUCUGGACAUAGCCACUUUUGAUUGAGGAUUCAAUAUUGUUUAGGUAUUAAUACAAAUAUCCACCACGUUUACUCUCUAUGAAAAUGGGAGAGUUUAAAGAUCUUUUUCUGUAAUUUUAAUUGUCUCCCUACGAUGUAAUUAAAAAAAGAUGACAGAGUACCGAAAAAAGAAAGAGUUGGCCGG
RNAcentral lists this long non-coding RNA (2734 nucleotides) under Mustela putorius furo (domestic ferret). RNAcentral describes it as "lncRNA (ENSMPUG00000026557.1)". The record is from RNAcentral. Lineage: Eukaryota; Metazoa; Chordata; Mammalia; Carnivora; Mustelidae.